This 570-nucleotide ribosomal RNA is filed under the name uncultured bacterium. Its description in RNAcentral is "bacterial SSU rRNA". It matches the Rfam family "Bacterial small subunit ribosomal RNA", at positions 335 to 919 of the family's 1533-position model. The record is from RNAcentral.
AUUCCUACGGGAGGCAGCAGUGGGGAAUUUUCCGCAAUGGGCGAAAGCCUGACGGAGCAACGCCGCGUGAGGGAUGAAGGCCUCUGGGCUGUAAACCUCUUUUAUCAAGGAAGAAGAUCUGACGGUACUUGAUGAAUAAGCCACGGCUAAUUCCGUGCCAGUAGCCGCGGUAAUACGGGAGUGGCAAGCGUUAUCCGGAAUUAUUGGGCGUAAAGCGUCCGCAGGCGGCCCAGAAAGUCUGCUGUUAAAAAGUGGAGCUUAACUCCAUCAUGGCAGUGGAAACUUCUGGACUAGAGUGUGGUAGGGGCAGAGGGAAUUCCCGGUGUAGCGGUGAAAUGCGUAGAUAUCGGGAAGAACACCAGUGGCGAAGGCGCUCUGCUGGGCCAUCACUGACGCUCAUGGACGAAAGCCAGGGGAGCGAAAGGGAUUAGAUACCCCUGUAGUCCUGGCCGUAAACGAUGAACACUAGGUGUCGGGGGAAUCGACCCCCUCGGUGUCGUAGCCAACGCGUUAAGUGUUCCGCCUGGGGAGUACGCACGCAAGUGUGAAACUCAAAGGAAUUGACGGAAU